GACGAACGCUGGCGGCGCGCUUAACACAUGCAAGUCGAACGGAAAGGCCUGCUUUCCCUUGUGGAUUGCGGGUACUCGAGUGGCGAACGGGUGAGUAACACGUGAGUGAUCUGCCCCCAACUUGGGUAUAAGCCUGGGAAACUGGGUCUAAUUCCCGAUAGGACUGCAGGGUGGUGCCUGUGGUGGAAAACGAUUUUCUAGUGGUUGGGGAUGAGCUCGCGGCCUAUCAGCUUGUUGGUGGGGUAAUGGCCUACCAAGGCGGCGACGGGUAGCCGGCCUGGGAGGGUGGACGGCCACAUUGGGACUGAGAUACGGCCCAGACUCCUACGGGAGGCAGCAGUGGGGAAUAUUGCACAAUGGGCGGAAGCCUGAUGCAGCGACGCCGCGUGGGGGAUGACGGCCUUCGGGUUGUAGACUCCUUUCGACCGCGAGGAAGCCACCUGGUUGGAAGGGUGGUGACGGUAGUGGUAGAAGAAGCACCGGCUAACUACGUG
This 494-nucleotide ribosomal RNA is filed under the name uncultured bacterium. RNAcentral's name for it is "partial 16S ribosomal RNA". It matches the Rfam family "Bacterial small subunit ribosomal RNA", at positions 28 to 507 of the family's 1533-position model. The record is from RNAcentral.